UAUCAUGUGUGUUGCAGAGAGGAGCAGUUUGACUCCCUGGAGAACAGUGAGAGCACUGUAUAUCUGCCGGAUGGAUCAAGCUGUGCGAUCAGAGGCAUUGGGACGGUCAGCUGGAGGACACAUGACGGUGCAGUGAGGAGAUUGAGGGAGGUCUGAUACAUACCCUAUUUCAGACGGAAUCUUAUCUCACUUAGCAGACUGGAUUCGAGAGGCUACAGGACGGUAGCUGGUGGACGAAUCCUGAGGGUGCUACGCGGCGAUAGGAUUGUGCUGGAGGGGAAGAAGAGGAGCAGAGGACAUUAUUACCUGGCAGAGAGCCCA
Molecule: long non-coding RNA, 321 nt
Filed under: Elaeis guineensis (African oil palm)
Lineage: Eukaryota; Viridiplantae; Streptophyta; Magnoliopsida; Arecales; Arecaceae
Description: long non-coding RNA (EGUI_LNC001190)
Source: RNAcentral